GUGAUUUUCGCAAAUUGAUGAAACAAUUUUAUCCUCUUAAAAUCCAUUGUAAAUAAUCAAUUCUAUUCGAGACAGGCAAUUAAUAUCAGCACCAACUGUUUUACAAAAAUUUAAAUAGAUAUAACUCAGUGUUACCAACUCUUACAUAUCACCACUGGUUUCAGAAAAGUGUUCAGGUAAUCAAAGCAUACAGCGUAGAAACAGUUCAAGGUUGAGACAGUUUGAAAAUAUUUAGUAAAAAAAUGAGUCUCAUUUGUAAGUUUUUUCACCUUUAAUUAUUAGUUAUCAUUUUUCGAGCUGACAAAUUCUGAAACUGUUACUUUUUUUUGCUAGAUGUAUUUUGCUAAUUGGUUUCAGUUUCUUUUGUCCAUCUAAUUCUUACAUAGCUCAUCAUUUAACGAAAAAUUUAAAAAAUCAUAUUUUACUUUUAUCUUAGGUUUAAAGCUUUUUAUACUUCCUUUUAAUUUGAAUUAUUUUGUCCUAUUUUUUCUUUGAAAGGCAGAUGAGUUCCAGCACAGUUUGCCAGAUGUUUACAACAAAUUCAUCCACUCUGCAAAACAUUUGUCGUAUCAAGCUCUAGCAGAACUGCAUCAGACAUCAAACAAAAUUUGUCCUUUUGGAAAGAAGUAUGUGCAAGAUGCCCUACCUUAUUUUCGAAGUGUGGCUGCAGUCACAUUGAUGAAAGAUGUUUUGAUAAAUCAAAACGUCUCUGAUGUUGUCUUCAAUGAAUGGCUCUUUGCCCUCUCCAUUUUUCCAAGGCCAAAUGAUGAAAUUGUGUCAGUAGCUGUUCCACUAAUGCAACAUUAUCCAGAAAACGAGGCUGUUCUAUUGAGUUUAACAUCCAUGAUUCACUCUUUCUGCAAGUGGAAUUUGUGUGAAAAUGAGCAAAAUGUGAGCAUCAUUACGUUGCACCUACAAAACAUGGUUAAUUCAAGCAUUUUACAAGAAUCCUAUAGUACAGGGGUAAGUGAAUAG
RNAcentral lists this long non-coding RNA (975 nucleotides) under Bemisia tabaci. RNAcentral describes it as "lncRNA ENSSSA1UGG011692". The record is from RNAcentral. Lineage: Eukaryota; Metazoa; Arthropoda; Insecta; Hemiptera; Aleyrodidae.